CGGACGGGUGAGUAAUGCUUAGGAAUCUGCCUAUUAGUGGGGGACAACAUCUCGAAAGGGAUGCUAAUACCGCAUACGUCCUACGGGAGAAAGCAGGGGACCUUCGGGCCUUGCGCUAAUAGAUGAGCCUAAGUCGGAUUAGCUAGUUGGUGGGGUAAAGGCCUACCAAGGCGACGAUCUGUAGCGGGUCUGAGAGGAUGAUCCGCCACACUGGGACUGAGACACGGCCCAGACUCCUACGGGAGGCAGCAGUGGGGAAUAUUGGACAAUGGGGGGAACCCUGAUCCAGCCAUGCCGCGUGUGUGAAGAAGGCCUUUUGGUUGUAAAGCACUUUAAGCGAGGAGGAGGCUACCGAGAUUAAUACUCUUGGAUAGUGGACGUUACUCGCAGAAUAAGCACCGGCUAACUCUGUGCCAGCAGCCGCGGUAAUACAGAGGGUGCAAGCGUUAAUCGGAUUUACUGGGCGUAAAGCGCGCGUAGGUGGCCAAUUAAGUCAAAUGUGAAAUCCCCGAGCUUAACUUGGGAAUUGCAUUCGAUACUGGUUGGCUAGAGUAUGGGAGAGGAUGGUAGAAUUCCAGGUGUAGCGGUGAAAUGCGUAGAGAUCUGGAGGAAUACCGAUGGCGAAGGCAGCCAUCUGGCCUAAUACUGACACUGAGGUGCGAAAGCAUGGGGAGCAAACAGGAUUAGAUACCCUGGUAGUCCAUGCCGUAAACGAUGUCUACUAGCCGUUGGGGCCUUUGAGGCUUUAGUGGCGCAGCUAACGCGAUAAGUAGACCGCCUGGGGAGUACGGUCGCAAGACU
RNAcentral lists this ribosomal RNA (801 nucleotides) under uncultured bacterium. Its description in RNAcentral is "bacterial SSU rRNA". It matches the Rfam family "Bacterial small subunit ribosomal RNA", at positions 99 to 895 of the family's 1533-position model. The record is from RNAcentral.